RNAcentral lists this ribosomal RNA (253 nucleotides) under uncultured bacterium. RNAcentral's name for it is "partial 16S ribosomal RNA". It matches the Rfam family "Bacterial small subunit ribosomal RNA", at positions 524 to 776 of the family's 1533-position model. The record is from RNAcentral.
UACGUAGGUGGCAAGGGUUGUCCGGAUUUAUUGGGUUUAAAGGGUGCGUAGGCGGUCCUAUAAGUCAGUGCCGAAAUAUCCCGGCUUAACCGGGAGGGUGGCAUUGAUACUGCAGGACUUGAGUAAAGUUGAGGUAGGCGGAAUUGACGGUGUAGCGGUGAAAUGCUUAGAUAUCGUCAAGAACACCAAUAGUGUAGACAGCUUACUAAGCUUUAACUGACGCUGAGGCACGAAAGUGUGGGGAUCAAACAGG